CGAGCGAGCUUGCCUAGAUGAGUUUGGUGCUUGCACCAGAUGAAACUAGAUACAAGCGAGCGGCGGACGGGUGAGUAACACGUGGGUAACCUGCCCAAGAGACUGGGAUAACACCUGGAAACAGAUGCUAAUACCGGAUAACAACACUAGACGCAUGUCUAGAGCUUAAAAGAUGGUUCUGCUAUCACUCUUGGAUGGACCUGCGGUGCAUUAGCUAGUUGGUAAGGUAACGGCUUACCAAGGCAAUGAUGCAUAGCCGAGUUGAGAGACUGAUCGGCCACAUUGGGACUGAGACACGGCCCAAACUCCUACGGGAGGCAGCAGUAGGGAAUCUUCCACAAUGGACGCAAGUCUGAUGGAGCAACGCCGCGUGAGUGAAGAAGGGUUUCGGCUCGUAAAGCUCUGUUGGUAGUGAAGAAAGAUAGAGGUAGUAACUGGCCUUUAUUUGACGGUAAUUACUUAGAAAGUCACGGCUAACUACGUGCCAGCAGCCGCGGUAAUACGUAGGUGGCAAGCGUUGUCCGGAUUUAUUGGGCGUAAAGCGAGUGCAGGCGGUUCAAUAAGUCUGAUGUGAAAGCCUUCGGCUCAACCGGAGAAUUGCAUCAGAAACUGUUGAACUUGAGUGCAGAAGAGGAGAGUGGAACUCCAUGUGUAGCGGUGGAAUGCGUAGAUAUAUGGAAGAACACCAGUGGCGAAGGCGGCUCUCUGGUCUGCAACUGACGCUGAGGCUCGAAAGCAUGGGUAGCGAACAGGAUUUAGAUACCCUGGUAGUCCAUGCCGUAAACGAUGAGUGCU
This 795-nucleotide ribosomal RNA is filed under the name uncultured bacterium. RNAcentral's name for it is "bacterial SSU rRNA". It matches the Rfam family "Bacterial small subunit ribosomal RNA", at positions 63 to 817 of the family's 1533-position model. The record is from RNAcentral.